AGAGUUUGAUCCUGGCUCAGAUUGAACGCUGGCGGCAUGCCUUACACAUGCAAGUCGAACGGUAACGCGGGGCAACCUGGCGACGAGUGGCGAACGGGUGAGUAAUACAUCGGAACGUGCCCAGUAGUGGGGGAUAGCCCGGCGAAAGCCGGAUUAAUACCGCAUACGACCUACGGGUGAAAGCAGGGGAUCGCAAGGCCUUGCGCUAUUGGAGCGGCCGAUGUCAGAUUAGGUUGUUGGUGGGGUAAAAGCCCACCAAGCCGACGAUCUGUAGCUGGUCUGAGAGGACGACCAGCCACACUGGGACUGAGACACGGCCCAGACUCCUACGGGAGGCAGCAGUGGGGAAUUUUGGACAAUGGGCGCAAGCCUGAUCCAGCCAUGCCGCGUGCGGGAAGAAGGCCUUCGGGUUGUAAACCGCUUUUGUCAGGGAAGAAACGCUCCGGGCUAAUACCCUGGGGUAAUGACGGUACCUGAAGAAUAAGCACCGGCUAACUACGUGCCAGCAGCCGCGGUAAU
Molecule: ribosomal RNA, 519 nt
Filed under: uncultured bacterium
Lineage: Bacteria
Description: bacterial SSU rRNA
Rfam family: Bacterial small subunit ribosomal RNA
Source: RNAcentral